This 408-nucleotide unclassified non-coding RNA is filed under the name soil metagenome. RNAcentral describes it as "partial contains 5.8S ribosomal RNA, internal transcribed spacer 2, and large subunit ribosomal RNA". The stretch from base 1 to 120 matches the Rfam family "5.8S ribosomal RNA", at positions 35 to 154 of the family's 154-position model. The record is from RNAcentral.
GAUGAAGAACUCAGCGAAAUGCGAUAAGUAAUGUGAAUUGCAGAAUUCAGUGAAUCAUCGAAUCUUUGAACGCACCUUGCGCUCCUUGGCAUUCCGAGGAGCAUGCCUGUUUGAGUGUCAUUAAAUUCUCAAGACCUGUCUGCUUUUUUGAUAGGUAUUGGAUUUUGGGGGUUGCAGGCUGUUUCAAAUAAAUAGCCUUGCUCUCCUUGAAUGUAUUAGUGGAGAAAAGCCAUUGAACUCCAUUGGUGUGAUAAAACCUAUCAAUGCCAGGAGCAAUAUCACUACUUCUCUCUGCUGUCUAACUGUGACUGUCUGUAUUAAUUAGUAUGGAUGGGGACAACUUGACCAACUUGACCUCAAAUCAGGUAGGACUACCCGCUGAACUUAAGCAUAUCAAUAAGCGGAGGA